CCUACGGGUGGCAGCAGUGGGGAAUUUUGGACAAUGGGCGCAAGCCUGAUCCAGCCAUUCCGCGUGAGUGAAGAAGGCCUUCGGGUUGUAAAGCUCUUUCGCAAGGGAAGAAAACUUAUCCUCUAACAUAGGAUGAGGUUGACGGUACCUUGAUAAGAAGCACCGGCUAACUACGUGACAGCAGCCGCGGUAAUACGUAGGGUGCGAGUGUUAAUCGGAAUUAAUGAGGCUAUAGCGUGCGCCAGCUGUGAAAUCCCCGAGCUCAACUUGGGAACUGCGUGUGAAACUACAAGACUAGAAUAGGUCAGAGGGGGGUAGAAUUCCACGUGUAGCAGUGAAAUGCGUAGAGAUGUGGAGGAAUAUCAAUGGCGAAGGCAGCCCCCUGGGAUCAUAUUGACGCUCAUGCACGAAAGCGUGGGGAGCAAACAGGAUUAGAUACCCCUGUAGUC
Molecule: ribosomal RNA, 449 nt
Filed under: uncultured bacterium
Lineage: Bacteria
Description: partial 16S ribosomal RNA
Rfam family: Bacterial small subunit ribosomal RNA
Source: RNAcentral